AACGAACGCUGGCGGCAUGCCUAACACAUGCAAGUCGAACGAGACCUUCGGGUCUAGUGGCGCACGGGUGCGUAACGCGUGGGAACCUGCCCUUAGGUUCGGAAUAACUCCCCGAAAGGGGUGCUAAUACCGGAUAAUGUCUUCGGACCAAAGAUUUAUCGCCUUUGGAUGGGCCCGCGUUGGAUUAGCUAGUUGGUAGGGUAAAAGCCUACCAAGGCGACGAUCCAUAGCUGGUCUGAGAGGAUGAUCAGCCACACUGGGACCGAGACGCGGCCCAGACUCCUACGGGAGGGAGGAGUGGGGGAUAGUGGAACAUGGGGGGAAGGCUGAUCCAGCAAUGACGCGUAAAUUAUGAAAGGCUUAGGGUUGUAAAGCUUUUUUACCCGGGAAGAUAAUGACCGUACCGGGAGAAAAAGCCCCGGCUAACUCCGUG
Molecule: ribosomal RNA, 433 nt
Filed under: uncultured bacterium
Lineage: Bacteria
Description: partial 16S ribosomal RNA
Rfam family: Bacterial small subunit ribosomal RNA
Source: RNAcentral